RNAcentral lists this ribosomal RNA (468 nucleotides) under uncultured bacterium. RNAcentral's name for it is "partial 16S ribosomal RNA". It matches the Rfam family "Bacterial small subunit ribosomal RNA", at positions 28 to 507 of the family's 1533-position model. The record is from RNAcentral.
GACGAACGCUGGCGGCGUGCUUAACACAUGCAAGUCGAACGGAAAGGCCCUGCUUUUGUGGGGUGCUCGAGUGGCGAAAGGGUGAGUAACACGUGAGUAACCUGCCCUUGACUUUGGGAUAACUUCAGGAAACUGGGGCUAAUACCGGAUAGGAGCUCCUGCUGCAUGGUGGGGGUUGGAAAGUUUCGGUGGUUGGGGAUGGACUCGCGGCUUAUCAGCUUGUUGGUUGGGUAGUGGCUUACCAAGGCUUUGACGGGUGGCCGUCCUGGGAGGGUGACCGGCCACACUGGGACUGAGAUACGGCCCAGACUACUACGGGAGGCAGCGGUGGGGAAUAUUGCACAAUGGGCGGAAGCCUGAUGCAGCACCGCCGCGUGCGGGAUGACGGCCUUCGGGUUGUAAACCGCUUUCGCCUGUGACGAAGCGUGAGUGACGGUAAUGGGUAAAGAAGCACCGGCUAACUACGUG